GCAUCUUUAUCUGUCUCUCGUUAGGGAUGUCAAUGGCUAAAACUGAAGACAAACCAGCACAAGAGGCCAAACAGAAAGAAGAAAUAAAAGAGGAAUCUGAGGAAGAAGAAGAAGAGCAGACCUUUGAACAGCUUGGGCUUGACCCUCGUUUAAUUCGAGCUUUAAACAAGAAGGAAAUUAGUGUUACAAAGCCAACCCCAAUCCAGCGAGUCGCUAUUCCUCUAAUACUCGAAGGGAAGGAUGUGGUUGCCAGAGCAAAGACAGGCUCAGGGAAGACAUUGGCUUACUUGCUUCCUCUACUUCAAAAGUUGUUCGCAAGUUCUGGUUCCAGUAGAAAGCUUGCCCCAUCUGCAUUCAUUCUCGUCCCAAGUGGGGAAUUGUGUCAGCAGGUUCAUAAAGAGGUCUCAUCCCUUAUUGAUUCGUGUAAAGUUCAGUUGAAAGCUGUACAGUUGACGACCAAAAUGGGUGUUUCUGAUUUGCGUACUGCAUUGGCUGGACCUCCUGAUGUUAUUGUAACAACUCCUGCUUGUGUAGCUAAGUGCUUGUCAGCUGGUGCACUUCAAUCAUCAUCUAUAAAUGAUUCACUUGAAAUUCUUGUUCUUGACGAGGCAGAUCUUUUAUUGUCAUUUGGCUAUGAAGAUGAUCUAAAAGCUCUUACAGCUUUUGUCCCUAGACGUUGUCAAUGCCUUCUUAUGUCAGCUACAUCAAGCGCUGAUGUUGAUAAACUGAAGAAGCUCAUUCUACAUAAUCCAUACAUUUUGACUUUGCCAGAAGUGGAAGGUGUAAAGGAUGAAGCUAUCCCCAAAAAUGUUCAGCAGUUUUGGAUUUCAUGCAGUAAUCAGGACAAGUUACUCCACAUUCUUGCCCUUUUGAAGCUGGAGCUGGUUCAGAAAAAAGUUCUGAUAUUUACUAAUUCCAAACUUUUCCAAAAACAGCUUCAGCCUGAAACUCAUGUCAAUGGAAAAAUCUGCUGUUCUAAAUGCUGAGUUGCCACAGAAUUCUCGUCUUCACAUACUUGAGGAAUUCAAUGCGGGGCUUUUUGAUUAUUUAAUAGCAACUGAUGACAAUGAAACAAAAGAGAAGGAACAAGCUGGUGGGAGUCUUGCUGAGUCAAGAAAAUCUAAAAGACAUGCUAAGCAAAGAUUGGACUCUGAAUUUGGAGUCGUAAGGGGCAUUGACUUUAAAAAUGUACACACGGUUAUAAAUUAUGAUAUGCCUCUGAGUGCUGCGGGAUAUGUACACCGAAUUGGCCGUACUGGAAGAGGAUAUAGCACUGGUGCUUCUGUCUCUCUAGUUUCUACAGAUGAGAUGGCAAUUCUUGAAGAUAUAAAAUCCUUUUUAGGGGAUGAUGAGAGCAAGGAUUCAAACUUAAUUGCUCCUUUUCCUUUACUCACUAAGAAUGCAGUGGAGUCUUUACGAUAUAGAGCUGAGGAUACUGCAAAGAGUGUGACAAAGGUUGCUGUCAGGGAAGCACGAGCUCAGGAUUUGAGGAAUGAAAUACUCAAUUCUGAGAAGUUGAAGGCUCAUUUUAAAGCUAAUCCAAGGGACUUAGAUCUAUUGAAACAUGACAAGGUUCUGAGCAAGAAGCCCCCUGCUCCUCACCUACGUGAUGUGCCUGACUACCUGCUGGACCCAACAACUAAGGAAGCGAGCAAAAUGGUCAAACUUGCUAGAGCUGCAAUGGGAAACAAUAACUCCGCUCGCCGUCAGGGAUCCAGGAGCAAAUUUAAGCGAAGUAGAGACCCGCUAAAGUCUUUCUCUGUUGAGGCACCAAGGAGAGCUCUUAAAGGUCAGAGGGAUAGUGACAAUACUCAUAAACACAAAAGGAGAAGAGCCGUCUGAUUUAAUUUUUUUGGCCCUUGCAAUUUUGCAUGAGUUAUUUGUUACUUUAGAAUAUCCACUUUAUAUAUGAUUUAGAUAUAUUAAAUUGAGAAAAAAAAAGCAAUUUGAUCGUAUUUCAUCCGGAGUUGUGGCUAUCUAGUUGAUUAUGUCAUGCUCCUUCGGAGGCCUUUCUGCAGAUGAAAAUUGUAUGGAUACCACUUCAAAUGCCUUCUAUUUAAAGUAUAAAUUCUAUUUUCUAAAUUUAAUAUAUCUAAAUCAUAUAUAAAG
Molecule: unclassified non-coding RNA, 2109 nt
Filed under: Hevea brasiliensis (rubber tree)
Lineage: Eukaryota; Viridiplantae; Streptophyta; Magnoliopsida; Malpighiales; Euphorbiaceae
Source: RNAcentral